UGCCAGCCGCCGCGGUAAUACGGAGGGGGCAAGCGUUGUUCGGAUUUACUGGGCGUAAAGGGCGUGUAGGCGGUUUUGUCAGUCAGGCGUGAAAGCCCCGGGCUCAACCUGGGAACUGCGUUUGAUACUGCAAGACUUGAGGCCGGGAGAGGUGAGUGGAAUUCCCAGUGUAGAGGUGAAAUUCGUAGAUAUUGGGAAGAACACCAGUGGCGAAGGCGACUCACUGGACCGGUUCUGACGCUGAGGCGCGAAAGCGUGGGGAGCAAACAGGAUUAGAUA
Molecule: ribosomal RNA, 279 nt
Filed under: uncultured bacterium
Lineage: Bacteria
Description: partial 16S ribosomal RNA
Rfam family: Bacterial small subunit ribosomal RNA
Source: RNAcentral